Molecule: small nuclear RNA, 104 nt
Filed under: Ursus maritimus (polar bear)
Lineage: Eukaryota; Metazoa; Chordata; Mammalia; Carnivora; Ursidae
Source: RNAcentral
GUGCUCGCUUCGGUGGCACAUACACUAAAAUUGGAACGAUACAGAGGUUAGCAUGGCCCCUGCGCAAGGAUGACACGCAACUUCGCAAAGCAUCCCACGUUUUA